RNAcentral lists this ribosomal RNA (960 nucleotides) under Toxascaris leonina. Its description in RNAcentral is "large subunit ribosomal RNA". Lineage: Eukaryota; Metazoa; Nematoda; Chromadorea; Rhabditida; Ascarididae. The record is from RNAcentral.
UAAAUUUUUGUUUUUUAUUUUUUGGUAUUGCAUACCAUUCUGAGAAAAUAACAUUUUUAUGUUUAAUGGAAUAAAAAAGUAGAGGGUUUAUGGGGUUCCCUGUUCUAUAGUGAACUUUAUUUGACCUUGGUGUUGAUAUGUCGAUUUUUUUGUUAUCUGUUUGUUGGGUUUUUAUUAGAAAAUUAUGAAGUUUGUGUGUUUUUUUGGAUAUAAAGAUUUUGUAGUGUUCUUAUUUUAUGUUUUAUAACGUUUUCUUUUUUUUUGUUGUGUAUUUUUUUUGUUUUUAUUAAGUUUUUAAUAAAUUUAGAAUUUUGAAUUUAGUAGUUUUAGUUUAAUUAUGUUUGUUGUUUUAAUUUAUUUGUGUUAACUUGUUUUUUGGUCAAAUGUUUUUUAAAGACUUAGGCUUUUAUUUUAAGCUGGCCUCUGCUCUAUGUUUUUUUAAAUGGCAGUCUUAGCGUGAGGACAUUAAGGUAGCAAAAUAAUUUGUGCUUUUAAUGGGUUCUGGUAUGAAUGGGGUUAUUGGCUGAUUUUUUACUUUUUUUUUUAUGAAUUAAUUUUGUGUUUAAGAAAUAAUGGUUGGUAUUAUGCAAAGAUAAGUCUUCGAAAAUUUUUUUAUUGAGGUUUUUUUUAUUGUUUUGAUAUGUUAUCUAGGGUAGAUUGUUUUGUAAUUUUUUUUACUAUUUAUAAUUAAUAAAAUUACUUCGGAGUUAACAGAAAAUCAUAUUUUAUUUAGUUCUUAUAAUAGUGAUAAGUUUUACAUCGAUGUUGUAUUUUGGUUCUUGAAGGGAGGAGAGGAUUUCUGGUUUUAGACUGUUCUUCUGUUAAUAAACCAAACGUGAUAUUAGUUUAAUUCAUCGUGAGAUAGAAUUGUUUAUCUUGAUAAUAUUUUUGUUGUUGGUAGCUGAAAGUACGAAAGGAAAUUUGUUAAAGUUAUUAACUUUUGUAGAAGUGGAGACUUUU